GCAGCAUGUGCUGGCUGGAGUCCAUGGGUAACUCGUACUUCAGCACCAGGGUCACUGUGCUUAUUUGGCUCUUGCACUUAGGUGAUGAUGGUGGUAACCUUCUUCCCAAAUCAUGCAAAGAUGCCACAGUAGAGGAAGAAAUUAUGACGCUAAUACUGAUUGCCCUGGAGACAAGACUCAAAUGCACUCAUUUCUCCCUUUACUGUUUUUCUGUAGGGUGAAGCUGGUCCUCCUGGUCCUGCUGGUUCUAGUGGUAGUCCUGGAGAGAGAGGAGAACCUGGUCCUCAGGGAAAUGCUGGGCCACCCGGGCCUCAGGGCCCUCCUGGAAGAGCUGGAAGCCCUGGCAACAAGGGUGAAAUGGGACCUGCUGGUGUUCCUGGUGCUCCUGGUCUGCCAGGAGGCCGUGGUCUUCCUGGUCCUCCAGGUACAAGUGGAAGCCCUGGAGCAAAAGGCACUCCGGGAGAACCUGGUAAGAAUGGUGCAAAAGGAGAGCCAGGCCCAAAAGGCGAGCGUGGUGAAAACGGCACCCCAGGAGCUCCUGGACCUCCUGGUGAGGAAGGCAAAAGAGGUGCAAAUGGUGAACCUGGCCAGAAUGGUGUACCUGGUACCCCUGGAGAAAGGGGCUCCCCCGGUUUCCGUGGCUUACCCGGUAGCAAUGGACUUCCAGGUGAAAAGGGUCCUGCAGGCGAACGUGGUAGUCCAGGUCCUCCUGGCCCCAGCGGACCCGCAGGAGAGCGUGGACAAGAUGGAGGCCCAGGUCUUCCCGGAAUGAGAGUAAGACAGGACGUUUCCAAGAAAAUGUGAUAAACUCUGUUAGAGAUGCCUCAUCUGAGCUGAUACAACAGAGGAGUCCACUUAGAAAAUUUUUCUAUUAAUUCCUUAAAGUAAAGUAGACUACAUAUAUUCAUAGUGCAAUAGAUAACGGUGCAGAGACACGGGGCAUUU
This is a long non-coding RNA of Buteo japonicus, 945 nucleotides long. NCBI's taxonomy places the organism in Eukaryota, Metazoa, Chordata, Aves, Accipitriformes, Accipitridae. The record is from Ensembl.